GGAGGCAUUGCUCAGUGAUAGAGCACCUGCUUAGCAAGCAUGAGGCCCUGAGCUCCAAUCUCAGUAUUGCCA
This 72-nucleotide transfer RNA is filed under the name Dipodomys ordii (Ord's kangaroo rat). It matches the Rfam family "tRNA". From Rfam's summary of the family: Transfer RNA (tRNA) molecules are approximately 80 nucleotides in length. Their secondary structure includes four short double-helical elements and three loops (D, anti-codon, and T loops). Further hydrogen bonds mediate the characteristic L-shaped molecular structure. tRNAs have two regions of fundamental functional importance: the anti-codon, which is responsible for specific mRNA codon recognition, and the 3' end, to which the tRNAs corresponding amino acid is attached (by aminoacyl-tRNA synthetases). tRNAs cope with the degeneracy of the genetic code in two manners: having more than one tRNA (with a specific anti-codon) for a particular amino acid; and 'wobble' base-pairing, i.e. permitting non-standard base-pairing at the 3rd anti-codon position. The record is from Rfam by way of RNAcentral. Lineage: Eukaryota; Metazoa; Chordata; Mammalia; Rodentia; Heteromyidae.